UGAAAAUUAUUAGAUUAGAACAUUAAAUUCAAAAAUUUUCUUCUAGGGUUUCAUGCAUUAUGCCACAUCUCUUUUGUGCCUAAUUAAUUUUAAUGUUCAAUUGCAUAUUAAAACACUUUUAAUAUGUAUUAGGAUCUAUGUUUGUCAUUCAAGAUUGUGAAUUAACAAAUUAAUUCAUUUAAAACCCUAGUUUAAAAGAGGAGAUAGAGCAUUAACCUCUUUGAUACACCAUGGAUGUAAUUGGCACAUUUAGGAAGUACCUAAGACUCAAAGUGUUGUCCCUCUAGCUUGUUCACACUAAGAUCAGCAAUGGGCAGCCCCCAAUUUGCU
Molecule: unclassified non-coding RNA, 330 nt
Filed under: Hevea brasiliensis (rubber tree)
Lineage: Eukaryota; Viridiplantae; Streptophyta; Magnoliopsida; Malpighiales; Euphorbiaceae
Source: RNAcentral